Molecule: ribosomal RNA, 253 nt
Filed under: uncultured bacterium
Lineage: Bacteria
Description: partial 16S ribosomal RNA
Rfam family: Bacterial small subunit ribosomal RNA
Source: RNAcentral
CACGUAGGGCGCAAGCGUUGUCCGGAAUUAUUGGGCGUAAAGAGCUCGUAGGCGGUCUGUUGCGUCCGCUGUGAAAACUCGGGGCUUAACCCCGAGCCUGCAGUGGAUACGGGCAGACUAGAGGUAGGUAGGGGAGAAUGGAAUUCCCGGUGUAGUGGUGAAAUGCGUAGAUAUCGGGAGGAACACCAGUGGCGAAGGCGGCUUUCUGGCCUGCUCUUGACGCUGAGGCGCGAAAGCUAGGGUAGCAAACGGG